Molecule: ribosomal RNA, 449 nt
Filed under: uncultured bacterium
Lineage: Bacteria
Description: bacterial SSU rRNA
Rfam family: Bacterial small subunit ribosomal RNA
Source: RNAcentral
ACUCCUACGGGAGGCAGCAGUGGGGAAUCUUGGACAAUGGGGGCAACCCUGAUCCAGCCAUGCCGCGUGAGUGAUGAAGGCCUUAGGGUCGUAAAGCUCUUUCGCCAGGGAUGAUAAUGACAGUACCUGGUAAAGAAACCCCGGCUAACUCCGUGCCAGCAGCCGCGGUAAUACGGAGGGGUUAGCGUUGUUCGGAAUUACUGGGGCGUAAAGCGCGCGUAGGCGGACCAGAAAGUUGGGGGUGAAAUCCCCGGGGCUCAACCCCGGAACUGCCUCCAAAACUCCUGGUCUUGAGUUCGAGAGAGGUGAGUGGAAUUCCGAGUGUAGAGGUGAAAUUCGUAGAUAUUCGGAGGAACACCAGUGGCGAAGGCGGCUCACUGGCUCGAUACUGACGCUGAGGUGCGAAAGUGUGGGGAGCAAACAGGAUUAGAUACCCUGGUAGGAUAGCG